UACGUAGGGUGCGAGCGUUGUCCGGAAUUAUUGGGCGUAAAGGGCUCGUAGGCGGUUUGUCGCGUCGGGAGUGAAAACCCAGGGCUUAACCCUGGGCUGGCUUCCGAUACGGGCAGACUAGAGGUAUGCAGGGGAGAACGGAAUUCCUGGUGUAGCGGUGAAAUGCGCAGAUAUCAGGAGGAACACCGGUGGCGAAGGCGGUUCUCUGGGCAUUACCUGACGCUGAGGGGCGAAAGCGUGGGGAGCAAACAGG
This 253-nucleotide ribosomal RNA is filed under the name uncultured bacterium. RNAcentral's name for it is "partial 16S ribosomal RNA". It matches the Rfam family "Bacterial small subunit ribosomal RNA", at positions 524 to 776 of the family's 1533-position model. The record is from RNAcentral.